GAGAGAAAGAGAGGAGUUUUUUCAGAUUAUUUUUUUAUAUUUUUUAUAUUAGUUGUUUAUUUAUUUAUUUUUAAAUUAAUAAAAGAGUAUAAAAAUGACUAAAUCAUAAACACAACUAAAUUUAAAACUAAUGUCAUUAAUGAUGAAUAAUUGUUUUUUUUUUUUGGAUUUUUUAGAUUUUAAAAAAGAAGGGUUAAAUAUACCAAGGGUCCUCCUAAAUAUGAUCACAUUCAAUUUUAGCCCCUCUAAAACUUUCCAUCAAACAAUGGUUCUC
Molecule: long non-coding RNA, 274 nt
Filed under: Lathyrus oleraceus (garden pea)
Lineage: Eukaryota; Viridiplantae; Streptophyta; Magnoliopsida; Fabales; Fabaceae
Description: Pisum sativum (pea) long non-coding RNA (PSAT_LNC009451)
Source: RNAcentral